AAGAAAAUAGACAUAUUUGCCUUCUGUAAAUAGAAAGACAGAGUCUAAUAGGCUGAUUCAUAGCCGGAAUUAAGCAACUUCUUUUUGUCAAAUUUUCAACCACUAAAUAAUUCCCUAGUGUACAGGAGUUGGAACCUCCUUGGUGUCAUUUAAUACUACCUUUUUUGGGCAGUAAAUGUUAAAGUUGUUUUCCAUAUCUUAGUUAAAUUUUAAAAACUAUAAAACAAAUUUUCCAAUUUUCCAAUUGAAAACUGGCCCAUAUGAACAUGAAUCUCUAUUUUACUGUUUUCUUAUUAAUUUUUUUUCCAAAAAAGUACUCCAGAUUUCCACAAGUGAAGAGGCCCUAAGUUUUUGCAUGAUUAUGAUGCGCAAUUAAUUUCUGAAGAACUAGUUUUACCAUAUUGCUUUACCAGCAUGACAAAGCACAAGAAAUCAUGAAUGAUAAGGGGAAAAGUAAUGUAUGUGGUUCAAGAAGACACAAAACAUCAGGUUCAUAUCCGGGAUUUUGAUUUAAUAACCAAGAAAGUGAACUCAAACCAAUUAGAAAAAUAGAUAUGAAGUCUCACAACUAAGAAG
RNAcentral lists this unclassified non-coding RNA (576 nucleotides) under Hevea brasiliensis (rubber tree). The record is from RNAcentral. Lineage: Eukaryota; Viridiplantae; Streptophyta; Magnoliopsida; Malpighiales; Euphorbiaceae.